RNAcentral lists this ribosomal RNA (1449 nucleotides) under uncultured organism. RNAcentral's name for it is "SSU rRNA". It matches the Rfam family "Bacterial small subunit ribosomal RNA". The record is from RNAcentral.
GCUCAGGAUGAACGCUAGCUACAGGCUUAACACAUGCAAGUCGAGGGGCAGCAUUUUAGUUUGCUUGCAAACUGAAGAUGGCGACCGGCGCACGGGUGAGUAACACGUAUCCAACCUGCCGAUAACUCCGGAAUAGCCUUUCGAAAGAAAGAUUAAUACCGGAUAGCAUACGAAUAUCGCAUGAUAUUUUUAUUAAAGAAUUUCGGUUAUCGAUGGGGAUGCGUUCCAUUAGUUUGUUGGCGGGGUAACGGCCCACCAAGACUACGAUGGAUAGGGGUUCUGAGAGGAAGGUCCCCCACAUUGGAACUGAGACACGGUCCAAACUCCUACGGGAGGCAGCAGUGAGGAAUAUUGGUCAAUGGGCGAGAGCCUGAACCAGCCAAGUAGCGUGAAGGAUGAAGGCUCUAUGGGUCGUAAACUUCUUUUAUAUGGGAAUAAAGUUUUCCACGUGUGGAAUUUUGUAUGUACCAUAUGAAUAAGGAUCGGCUAACUCCGUGCCAGCAGCCGCGGUAAUACGGAGGAUCCGAGCGUUAUCCGGAUUUAUUGGGUUUAAAGGGAGCGUAGGUGGAUUGUUAAGUCAGUUGUGAAAGUUUGCGGCUCAACCGUAAAAUUGCAGUUGAAACUGGCAGUCUUGAGUACAGUAGAGGUGGGCGGAAUUCGUGGUGUAGCGGUGAAAUGCUUAGAUAUCACGAAGAACUCCGAUUGCGAAGGCAGCUCACUAGACUGUCACUGACACUGAUGCUCGAAAGUGUGGGUAUCAAACAGGAUUAGAUACCCUGGUAGUCCACACAGUAAACGAUGAAUACUCGCUGUUUGCGAUAUACAGUAAGCGGCCAAGCGAAAGCAUUAGGUAUUCCACCUGGGGAGUACGCCGGCAACGGUGAAACUCAAAGGAAUUGACGGGGGCCCGCACAAGCGGAGGAACAUGUGGUUUAAUUCGAUGAUACGCGAGGAACCUUACCCGGGCUUAAAUUGCAACAGAAUAUAUUGGAAACAGUAUAGCCGUAAGGCUGUUGUGAAGGUGCUGCAUGGUUGUCGUCAGCUCGUGCCGUGAGGUGUCGGCUUAAGUGCCAUAACGAGCGCAACCCUUAUCUUUAGUUACUAACAGGUCAUGCUGAGGACUCUAGAGAGACUGCCGUCGUAAGAUGUGAGGAAGGUGGGGAUGACGUCAAAUCAGCACGGCCCUUACGUCCGGGGCUACACACGUGUUACAAUGGGGGGUACAGAAGGCGGCUACCUGGUGACAGGAUGCUAAUCCCAAAAACCUCUCUCAGUUCGGAUCGAAGUCUGCAACCCGACUUCGUGAAGCUGGAUUCGCCAGUAAUCGCGCAUCAGCCAUGGCGCGGUGAAUACGUUCCCGGGCCUUGUACACACCGCCCGUCAAGCCAUGAAAGCCGGGGGUACCUGAAGUACGUAACCGCAAGGAGCGUCCUAGGGUAAAACUGGUAA